UACGGGGGGGGCAAGCGUUGUUCGGAAUUACUGGGCGUAAAGGGCUCGUAGGUGGCCAACUAAGUCAGACGUGAAAUCCCUCGGCUUAACCGGGGAACUGCGUCUGAUACUGGAUGGCUUGAGUUUGGGAGAGGAAUGCGGAAUUCCAGGUGUAGCGGUGAAAUGCGUAGAUAUCAGGAGGAACACCCGUAGCGAAGGCGGCACUCUGGGCCGGAACUGACGCUGAGGAGCGAAAGCGUGGGGAGCGAACAGG
This 253-nucleotide ribosomal RNA is filed under the name uncultured bacterium. RNAcentral describes it as "partial 16S ribosomal RNA". It matches the Rfam family "Bacterial small subunit ribosomal RNA", at positions 524 to 776 of the family's 1533-position model. The record is from RNAcentral.